AUUGAACGCUGGCGGCAUGCUUUACACAUGCAAGUCGAACGGUAACAGGCCUUCGGGCGCUGACGAGUGUCGAACGGGUGAGUAAUGCAUCGGAACGCGCCCAGUCGUGGGGGAUAACUAUCCGAAAGGAUAGCUAAUACCGCAUACGAUCUGCGGAUGAAAGCGGGGGACCUUCGGGCCUCGCGCGAUUGGAGCGGCCGAUGUCAGAUUAGGUAGUUGGUGGGGUCAAGGCUCACCAAGCAAACGAUCUGUAGCUGGUCUGAGAGGACGACCAGCCACACUGGGACUGAGACACGGCCCAGACUCCUACGGGAGGCAGCAGUGGGGAAUUUUGGACAAUGGGCGCAAGCCUGAUCCAGCAAUGCCGCGUGCAGGAUGAAGGCUUUCGGGUUGUAAACUGCUUUUGUACGGAACGAAAAGCCCCGGGUUAAUACCCUGGGGUCAUGACGGUACCGUAAGAAUAAGCACCGGCUAACUACGUGCCAGCCGCCGCCGUAA
RNAcentral lists this ribosomal RNA (498 nucleotides) under uncultured bacterium. RNAcentral describes it as "partial 16S ribosomal RNA". It matches the Rfam family "Bacterial small subunit ribosomal RNA", at positions 30 to 523 of the family's 1533-position model. The record is from RNAcentral.